GCCACGGUGGUCUAGCGGUUAGAACGCUGGCCUUGUAAUCCUGGGGUCCCGGGUUCGAUUCCCGGCGGUGUCC
Molecule: transfer RNA, 73 nt
Filed under: Zootermopsis nevadensis
Lineage: Eukaryota; Metazoa; Arthropoda; Insecta; Blattodea; Termopsidae
Rfam family: tRNA
About the family: Transfer RNA (tRNA) molecules are approximately 80 nucleotides in length.
Source: Rfam by way of RNAcentral